This 408-nucleotide ribosomal RNA is filed under the name uncultured bacterium. Its description in RNAcentral is "partial 16S ribosomal RNA". It matches the Rfam family "Bacterial small subunit ribosomal RNA", at positions 28 to 526 of the family's 1533-position model. The record is from RNAcentral.
GACGAACGCUGGCGGCGUGCCUAAUACAUGCAAGUAGAACGCAGAUGCGAACGGGUGAGUAUAACGUAUGUAACCUGCCUCCUAGCGGGGGAGAACUCUUGGAGACGCUAGCUAAUACCGCAUACUGUGAGAUGGCCCUGCGUUGGAUUAGCUAGUUGGUGGGGUAAAGGCUUACCAAGGCGCCGAUACUGAGCCGACCUGAGAGGGUGAUCGGCCACAUUGGGACUGAGACACGGCCCAGACUCCUACGGGAGGCAGCAGUGGGGAAUCUUCCGCAAUGGACGGAAGUCUGACCGAGCAACGCCGCGUGAGUGAUGAAGGUUUUCGGAUCGUAAAGCUCUGUUGAUAGGGAAGCGGUACCUAACCAGAAAGGGACGGCUAACUACGUGCCAGCAGCCGCGGUAAUAC